UUUUUCGUCCCCUAUUAUACAGCAUCUUAAAAGGUGUCAGGAAAGAGGUAAAAAAUACAAAAAUCCUAGAUAGGCUCCUGAGAUUUUCCAAGAAUUUUCACCGUAACAGUAACAAGAUGGAGCUGUUGAGGAAGUGCGGGUCGGCGGCCAACCUGGCCGCCGACUCCCUGCUGCUGGUCGGUGAUGUUGUGGUGAACCCCGGUCCCCGUCUUCAAGGGCACACCGCCGCAGAGGAGGUUUGUGACGCCAUCUGCUGUCUGGUUGAUGAACCAUUUCUUUCGGCUCUGACGGAGGUCAGGACAGCCUCUGCCUUCGCCAGAUGCCCUCACUGCCAGCCCCGUCAGCCCCUGCGACUUGUUACCUGCAACAGGUCGGGGAGCAGUGCUGAGGGGCUUGAUGACGGUAUCAUCGGUAAAGGGGGCACGUCGGACUGCGAUAUCAUGUUUGAAUUUGACGGCCCCUUCGGUUGGACGACGGUGGGGACGAAGCCGGACGACAUUUUGCCGCAGUCUGCGCCACAGCUUUGGGCCCGUCCCACCAGCAACACCGGCUUCGUGACGCUGCACUGGGUCAGGACGAGCCAGUGCAGUCAUGCUGAGCUGCUGGAGGCGCUGCCGGCCGACUCGGUCCGUCAGCUUAUGCUUGAGUUUUGCCGGGUGAUGAAACCCGGUGAGAUCACCCCCACCGGCCCCGCGGUCAACGUCAGGCGGCCAGAUGAUCCUUCAGACGGCGGCCGAGACUACGUAUUUUGCCUGCAUGUACGCGGCUGGUGGCCCUACCCGAAAUGGUCCGACCAUCACCAUUUGGAGUCCGAUUUUCCGCCGGCGACGGCGCGGGACGACAUUCCCCGGUUCGGCGUACAUCUGGUGCCGACCGGCUGGCCGGGCAGCGAAACUGAAUUUAUAGAAUUUCGCGUCUCGCUGUCCCGGGCAGAAGCGAUCGCCGUCCGUCACCUCCAAUCUGGGCUGCGAGCUGCGAUCACCACAGUUAAGGCAAUGAAAAAGAUGCUGAACGAAAUGAUGGAAAAAUUGUCGAAAGAGAACAGGGUAGCCACCGACGGCCUGAAGUCGUACUUCAUCAAGACGGCGGGGCUCUGGCUAGCUCAGGACACGCCUGGUGGACCGUGGUCGAGCAUCACUGAGAGCGUCCAUCUCAUCUUGGGCUGGCUGGAGCAACGAUUCACCGACGGCUGGCUGCCCUGUUACUUUCAUCCGGACAUUAAUGUGGUGAGGGAACUGACCCAAGAUCAACGGCAGGCCAUCAUCGGCUCCCUCAGACUGAUGAGGGAGCAUUCCACACCGCUCAUGAUGGCCUGCUGUGAGAAACGAUGGGGCCCCACCUUAGACAUACUGCUGGAGGGCGGGGCCGAGCCGCUCUCAGAGCGACAGCUGCGGCUCCGUCUGGGACGGACGCUCGUCCGGCUAGCAGUGUACGACGCUAUCAGGUUCCGCUCCACGGCUCCCUGCUGGGAGAGCUGGUGGAAGUGGACCAUUCCCAGCCUGGCGCGUGCGGCACCCCACCUGCUCCAGUGGUUCCGCUACAUGACAUCAGGGACACACCGCCAACAGUGCCUUCUGCUCAUGGCGUGGAGCGUAGUCGACCCGGCGGACCUGGUGGGCGGGUCACCGAUGACGUCACCGGUCGGCGACGUGGUCACGAUGGACGUAACGCCGCUGACGGAGCUGCUCACCAGUUCGGACCUGCAGUACCUGCUGGGUGACCCGGCCGCGGUGGCCGCCUGGUGGGGUCGGCAGCUGCGGCGGCCGCCGGCGGAGCGGCCGGCCGGCCUGACUGCCGAGCUGGACACGCCGCGGGGCCGGGCCGAGUUGCUGCUGCGGCCCGAGCUGCUGCUACGCGCCGUCAGUGAGGCCGUACCGGCGAAAUUGGACUGGUGGCGAGUGGUGGACCGGAGGGAGAAAGGGCACUGGGCGUGGAACUUCCGCCCACCGCCCACCUACCAGUGGUGCCGGGAGAUGUUGGAGCAGCACCUCAGCUGUGACCUGGAGUACAACCUCACUGAAGAGAUACCAGAGAUGGACGGCCCGACGGUGGUCGCCACAGCUGACCUCUGGCGCCGACGGACGCAGCAGCUGCUGACCGGUGACCGGCUGCGCACAGCCUACGAUGCUGUUGUCAGCCAGUGGCCGGACCGGUGGCGGCUGCUGCCCUACUACCUGAAGGUGGACGAGACCGACACACGAGUUCCGCCAUCACCAACGUCCUCAGCAUGACCAUGGCCAUCACCAGCAGUGGCAGGAUCAGCACCAACGGCCCGGGAUUACCACCAGCAGCAUCCAUGCUCCCACAGCCGUGGCAGCACGACCAGUGCCACGUCAGGACUAUGAUAAUAACAACCAUGCGUGGCUUACGUCCAC
RNAcentral lists this unclassified non-coding RNA (2375 nucleotides) under Amphibalanus amphitrite. RNAcentral's name for it is "uncharacterized LOC122365699, transcript variant X1". The record is from RNAcentral. Lineage: Eukaryota; Metazoa; Arthropoda; Thecostraca; Balanomorpha; Balanidae.